GGGUGGUAAUGCCGGAUGCUCCAGUUGAUCGCAUGGUCUUCUGGGAAAGCUUUCGCGGUAUGGGAUGGGGUCGCGUCCUAUCAGCUUGACGGCGGGGUAACGGCCCACCGUGGCUUCGACGGGUAGCCGGCCUGAGAGGGCGACCGGCCACAUUGGGACUGAGAUACGGCCCAGACUCCUACGGGAGGCAGCAGUGGGGAAUAUUGCACAAUGGGCGCAAGCCUGAUGCAGCGACGCCGCGUGAGGGAUGGAGGCCUUCGGGUUGUAAACCUCUUUUAUCGGGGAGCAAGCGAGAGUGAGUUUACCCGUUGAAUAAGCACCGGCUAACUACGUGCCAGCAGCCGCGGUAAUACGUAGGGUGCAAGCGUUAUCCGGAAUUAUUGGGCGUAAAGGGCUCGUAGGCGGUUCGUCGCGUCCGGUGUGAAAGUCCAUCGCUUAACGGUGGAUCCGCGCCGGGUACGGGCGGGCUUGAGUGCGGUAGGGGAGACUGGAAUUCCCGGUGUAACGGUGGAAUGUGUAGAUAUCGGAAAAA
RNAcentral lists this ribosomal RNA (532 nucleotides) under Bifidobacterium longum. Its description in RNAcentral is "partial 16S ribosomal RNA". It matches the Rfam family "Bacterial small subunit ribosomal RNA", at positions 158 to 705 of the family's 1533-position model. Lineage: Bacteria; Bacillati; Actinomycetota; Actinomycetes; Bifidobacteriales; Bifidobacteriaceae. The record is from RNAcentral. RNAcentral also lists the same sequence under 1 other name.